AGUCGAGCGCGCCCUUCGGGGUGAGCGGCGGACGGGUUAGUAACGCGUGGGAAUAUACCCUUUUCUACGGAAUAGCCUCUGGAAACGGAGAGUAAUACCGUAUGAGCCCUUCGGGGGAAAGAUUUAUCGGGAAAGGAUUAGCCCGCGUUAGAUUAGGUAGUUGGUGGGGUAAUGGCCUACCAAGCCUACGAUCUAUAGCUGGUUUUAGAGGAUGAUCAGCAACACUGGGACUGAGACACGGCCCAGACUCCUACGGGAGGCAGCAGUGGGGAAUCUUGGACAAUGGGCGCAAGCCUGAUCCAGCCAUGCCGCGUGAGUGAUGAAGGCCUUAGGGUCGUAAAGCUCUUUCGCCUGUGAAGAUAAUGACGGUAGCAGGUAAAGAAACCCCGGCUAACUCCGUGCCAGCAGCCGCGGUAAUGCGGAGGGGGUUAGCGUUGUUCGGAAUUACUGGGCGUAAAGCGCACGUAGGCGGAUUGGAAAGUAUGGGGUGAAAUCCCAGGGCUCAACCCUGGAACUGCCUCAUAAACUCCCAGCCUUGAGUUCGAGAGAGGUGAGUGGAAUUCCAAGUGUAGAGGUGAAAUUCGUAGAUAUUUGGAGGAACACCAGUGGCGAAGGCGGCUCACUGGCUCGAUACUGACGCUGAGGUGCGAAAGUGUGGGGAGCAAACAGGAUUAGAUACCCUGGUAGUCCACACCGUAAACGAUGAAUGCCAGUCGUCGGGUAGCAUGCUAUUCGGUGACACACCUAACGGAUUAAGCAUUCCGCCUGGGGAGUACGGUCGCAAGAUUAAAACUCAAAGGAAUUGACGGGGGGCCCGCACAAGCGGUGGAGCAUGUGGUUUAAUUCGAAGCAACGCGCAGAACCUUACCAACCCUUGA
Molecule: ribosomal RNA, 878 nt
Filed under: Ruegeria sp.
Lineage: Bacteria; Pseudomonadati; Pseudomonadota; Alphaproteobacteria; Rhodobacterales; Roseobacteraceae
Description: bacterial SSU rRNA
Rfam family: Bacterial small subunit ribosomal RNA
Source: RNAcentral